This 254-nucleotide ribosomal RNA is filed under the name uncultured bacterium. RNAcentral's name for it is "partial 16S ribosomal RNA". It matches the Rfam family "Bacterial small subunit ribosomal RNA", at positions 524 to 776 of the family's 1533-position model. The record is from RNAcentral.
UACGAAGGGGGCUAGCGUUGCUCGGAAUUACUGGGCGUAAAGCGCACGUAGGCGGUCUUUUAAGUCGGGGGUGAAAUCCUGGAGCUCAACUCCAGAACUGCCUUCGACUACUGAAAGACUUGAGUCCGGGAGAGGUGAGUGGAACUGCGAGUGUAGAGGUGAAAUUCGUAGAUAUUCGCAAGAACACCAGUGGCGAAGGCGGCUCACUGGCCCGGUACUGACGCUGAGGUGCGAAAGCGUGGGGAGCAAACAGG